RNAcentral lists this ribosomal RNA (192 nucleotides) under uncultured bacterium. RNAcentral's name for it is "partial 16S ribosomal RNA". It matches the Rfam family "Bacterial small subunit ribosomal RNA", at positions 1301 to 1500 of the family's 1533-position model. The record is from RNAcentral.
UAGGCUGCAACUCGCCUACACGAAGUCGGAAUCGCUAGUAAUCGCGCAUCAGCCAUGGCGCGGUGAAUACGUUCCCGGGCCUUGUACACACCGCCCGUCAAGCCAUGGGAGCCGGGGGCGCCUGAAGUCCGGGACCGCGAGGACCGGCCUAGGGCGAAACUGGUGACUGGGGCUAAGUCGUAACAAGGUAAC